This 3831-nucleotide long non-coding RNA is filed under the name Homo sapiens (human). Its description in RNAcentral is "HSALNT0307505". The record is from RNAcentral. Lineage: Eukaryota; Metazoa; Chordata; Mammalia; Primates; Hominidae.
AUUUUUUACAGAAUCAUUCCAAUUAAUGAAGAAGAAUAUUAGAAUUAGAAGAUUACCAUUUUGCAUCUCCUAAUGAAUGAAUGGAACCUCAGCAAAUAUCAUCCAUCGCUGCUAUGAACUGCACAGCUUUUCUGCCAUCAAAGAAGAAAGCUUCUGUAUCAGCCCAGGAAACCACAUGCUUGAUCAUCCAUGUGGUCCACUAAGUCAAGAGAGGAGAUACCCAAGAGGAGCUGAGCUUCUCAACUGUUUGCCCCUGACUUCGAUUUGCUGCCCUCCAACCCCCCAGCACAGAAAUCAGUUAUCAAGGUCAAACCACAGAUCCUGUGAAUACUAAAGUUUGAAUGGAUUCCAAUGAUUCUGGACCAAACGUUUUCUUCCAAGGCCAUUUUACCCUCCAAAGUUCUAACAUUCAGAAAGAAACAGCAAAAGCUGGGAAAGCAGAGAAACUGAAUGAGAACAGUGAGCUGGAAAGGAAGCUCUCCAGGAUUUGGAAUUGAAUCAUUCUGUCAUUCUCCUCCCCCAACCUAGUUUUUUUCCAACAUUCCUCCAAACCCAGAUUCUGAUAUCCCACAGUGAUAUGAAGGAAGUUAAGGUGAGAGAUUAGGAAUUGGUCUGUAAGAAUUGAAGACCAGCUCUGCAGUACCCAAUGGCUGAAUCAAUGGAGAAAAACGCUUAGAGAGUCUCAGCCAGUGGAAGACAAUGGUAUUGAUACCAGAGAACUAUCUGAUAUGGUUUGGCUGUGUCCCCACCCAAAUCUCAUCUUGAAUUGUAACUCCCAUAAUCCCCAUGUGUCAUGGGAGAGACCCAGUGGCAGGUAACUGAAUCCCUGGGGAGCGUUUUUCCCAUGCUGUUCUCGUGAUAGUGAAGAAGUCUUACAAGAACUGAUGGUUUUAUAAAAGGGCAGUUCCCCUGCACACGCUCUGUUUUUGUUUUUGUUUGUUUUUUGUUUUUUGUUUUUGAGACGGAGUCUCGCCCUGUUGCGUGGCCAGGCUGGAGUGCAGUGCCACAAUCUCAGCUUGAUGCAACUUCUGCCUCCCAGGUUCAAGCAAUUCUCCUGCCUCAGCCUCCCAAGUAGCUGGGACUACAGGCAUGUGCUACCACGCCCAGCUAAUUUUUGUAUUUUUAGUAGAGAUGGGGUUUUGCCAUGCUGGCCUAGCUGGUCUUGAACUCCUGACCUCAGGUGAUCUGCCCACCUUGGCCUCCCAAAGCGCUAGGAUUACAGGCCUGAGCCACCGCUCCUGGACUGCACAUCCUCUCUUGCCUGCCACCCUGUAAGACGUGACUUUGCUGCUCAAUCACCUUCCGCCAUGAUUGUGAGGCCUCCCCAGCCAUGUGAAACUGUGAGUCCAUUAAACCUCUUUCCUUUAUAAAUUACCCAGUCUUGGGUAUGUAGCAUCAUGAGAACAGACUAAAUACACUACCUCCUUGAGAAUUUCUGUUUCAGAAAGCACCAGUGAGUGAGCAGUAUAAAACAACAGGCCCCAGAACUUUUCACAGUCACUUCGGGGCACUGUUUAAAAAUACCACUACCUACUCCCUGGCAUUUUAAGUAAGUUCUCCAGCUGGGUGCUAGGAUUUGGAAACUAGUACAUUCUAGUGGCCACCACUAGCCUGUCUUUCUCAAUUUUCAUCUUGUGUGCCCCCAGAAGGGGUGCCAAACAAAAUACAGGACAUCUAGCUAAAUUUGAAUGUCAAAUAAAUAGUCAUUUUUUAGUAUACAUUUCAAACAUUGUAAUACUAAAUAAUUCCUUUUCUGACAUUCAGAUUUAACCUGGUGUCUGUCUUAGUCUGCUUUCUGUUGCUCAUAACAGAAUAUCUGAAAUUGGGUAAUUUAUAAGGAAAAGGAAUUUCUUUCUUUCUUUUUUUUUUUUUUGAGACAGAAUCUCAGACUGUCACCCAGGCUGGAGUGCAAUGCCAUGAUCUCAGCUCACUGCAACCUCCGCCUCUCGGGUUCAAGUGAUUCUCCUGCCUCAGCCUCCUGAGUAGCUGGGAUUACAGGUGCCUACCACCACGCCUGGCUAAUUUUUUGUAUUUUUAGUAGAAACGGCGUUUCAUUAUGUUGGCCAGGCUGGUCUCGAACUCCUGACCUCGUGAUCCGCCCACCUCGGCCUCCCAAAGUGUUGGGAUUACAGGCAUAAGCCACCAUACCCGGCCAAAGGAAUUUAUUUCUUACAUUUACAGAGACUGAGAAGUCCAGGUCAACAGGCUGCAUCUGGUGAGGGCCUUCUUGCUGGUGGGGACUCUCUGCAGAGUCCUGAGGUGGCACAGAGCAUUACACAGCAAGGGAGCUGCAUGUGCUUCCUCAGGUCUCUCUUCUUUAUAAAGCCAUCAGUCCUAUUGCCAUGAUAACACAUUAAUCCAUUAACCCACUCAGGAGGGCAGAGCUCUCAUGACUCAAUCACCUCUUAAAGGCCCCACCUCUCCAUACUGCCACAUUGGGGAUUAAAUUUCAACAUGAGUUUUAGAGGGGUCAAACAUUCAAUCCCUAGCAGUGUCCAGUAUUUUAUUUGCAAAACUGGGCAACUCAAACUCCCAACUCCACUACAAUGAUAGGUAAAAUCAACAUGCACAUAAAAAGCAUAUUGUUAUAUUCACUUUUGACUUGCUGGCCCUGAGUUUAUUCAUUAAGAAUAUAUUGCAUGUGGAUACUACAGCAAAAUAUGAGAAUGAGCAUAAUGAUAUUACUAGGAUAAGAACCAUUUCCCCAACUGUCAAAUGGAACCAGUUGGACCAGAUGUAAAAUUCCAUUAAAUCACUGAAUUAUUAACAAGGCAUUACCCAUACCAAAUUUAAUAGUCAAUAUCUAAAAUUCUCAUGUCUACUGGAAGAGGUUUCCUCAUAGAAGAUCAACUCAACUUAUCCAUUUCUAUUUCUCCUUCAAAAGCAAUUCCUGAAGACUAUUUUCUCACAACAGUGAUGACUUCUGCUCAUAUACAGUGGUUUAAGGCUGGGCACAGUGGCUCACCCCUGUAAUCCCAGCACUUUGGGAGGCCGAGGUGGGUGAUUGCCUGAGGUCAGGAGUUCGAGACCAGCCUGGCCAACAUGGUGAAAACCCAUCUGUACUAAAAAUACAAAAAUUAGCUGGGCUUGGUGGUGGGCGCCUGUAAUCCCAGCUACUCAGGAGGCCGAGGCAGGAGAAUCGCUUGAACCUGGGAGGUGGAGGUUGCAGUGAGCCGAGAUCAUGCCAUUGCACUCCAGCCUGGGCAACAAGAAUGAAACUCCUUCUCAAAAAUAAAUAAAUAAAUAAAAUACAGUGGUUUGAAUGUUCUCCUUCUAUAGAUUCUGUCUAGUCCACUCUGUAGGGGAUGUCCAAGAGCGGCAGAGAAAACAGUGGUCCCUUAUACCAACCACACCAGGAGCCAUGACUACAUGUAGUGAUCCCUAACGUAUUACUUGCCAAAAGAUCAUACUAUUUUAGUGGAAGAUCCCAAAUAAUUCUAAAAUGGGGUUGUAUCAUGAAGUUAUUUCAUCAAGCCAGGAAGGAAAGAACAGCAGACAUCUAACUCAUGCUGACCAAAGACAGUCUAGAAGUAUUAGCAUUAAUUGUAAGGAUUUACAUCUAUCUGCCUAUCUAAAUUUGGUUUUAUCCUAGUGGCCUCAAGUAAGCUAAUCUUGUUAUCUGUGAUGUAGAUCAGCAUCUGAUACAAUCAUAUAUGUUUAACAAAGACCACUGACCUCCUCUGCAAAAUCUGAGUUUGAACCCUGACCAUAUGAGAAAGUCUCCUAUUUUUUUUGUUUUACCCAAUUCAUCUUCCCCGGUUUAAAUGUUUUGGUUUGGGCAAUUAUGCUAAUUAUGGCCACAAAAUAUGGUCUGUGGGCCAAAUCCAGCCC